UUCAGUUCUAGCGUUGAUUGGAUUGUGUUUUGUUGUCCCCCAGGGUUUCACUGGAGUUACUGACAUAGCCGGUGGGUACUCUGCCUGGAGACAUAAUGGACUUCAUACAGAAUAGUUGUUCCGUAGACUUCUCUUGUGUACACACAUAGUUUUGAGAAGUAAAUAACAAUGCUAAGCAGCAUUUAGUUGUUAGUCUGAAGCAAUCAGUUGUAAUCAAGCAGAA
Molecule: long non-coding RNA, 223 nt
Filed under: Aquilegia coerulea
Lineage: Eukaryota; Viridiplantae; Streptophyta; Magnoliopsida; Ranunculales; Ranunculaceae
Description: long non-coding RNA (ACOE_LNC000299)
Source: RNAcentral